Molecule: long non-coding RNA, 201 nt
Filed under: Gossypium raimondii (Peruvian cotton)
Lineage: Eukaryota; Viridiplantae; Streptophyta; Magnoliopsida; Malvales; Malvaceae
Description: long non-coding RNA (GRAI_LNC004433)
Source: RNAcentral
UGUGUUUGAGGUCUUGGGUUUAAGUCCCACUUUUGGGAAAAUAAGCUAUUUUUAUCCUAGCCUAUUCCUUGACGAUUGGGCUUAUAUUUAAUCUUCAGUAAACUUAUAUUAGAAUGAGCUUGCUGGUUCAAGUGGUAAGGUGUUAGCUUACCCUAAGGUCUUGUGUUUGAAUCCCCAUAUGAGCGCGAGUGUUAAUUUUUG